This 138-nucleotide small nuclear RNA is filed under the name Coturnix japonica (Japanese quail). RNAcentral describes it as "U1 spliceosomal RNA (ENSCJPG00005002090.1)". It matches the Rfam family "U1 spliceosomal RNA". Rfam says of the family: U1 is a small nuclear RNA (snRNA) component of the spliceosome (involved in pre-mRNA splicing). Its 5' end forms complementary base pairs with the 5' splice junction, thus defining the 5' donor site of an intron. Lineage: Eukaryota; Metazoa; Chordata; Aves; Galliformes; Phasianidae. The record is from RNAcentral.
AUACUUACCUGGCAGGGGAGACACCAUAAUCAGGCAGGUGGUUUCCCCAGGGCGAGGCUCAUCCCCUGCACUCCAGGUGUGCUGACCCGUGCGAUCUCCCCAAAUGCGGGUUUUGGGGUGCUUUCCUGCCUAAUAUUC